UCGAGGAUCUUCGGCAAUGGGCGCAAGCCUGACCGAGCGACGCCGCGUGCGCGAUGAAGGCCUUCGGGUUGUAAAGCGCUGUCGAGGGGGAGGAAAGCCCGCAAGGGUCUGACCUAUCCCUGGAGGAAGCACGGGCUAAGUUCGUGCCAGCAGCCGCGGUAAGACGAACCGUGCAAACGUUGUUCGGAAUCACUGGGCUUAAAGGGCGCGUAGGCGGGUUCCCAAGUCGGUGGUGAAAUCUUUCAGCUCAACUGGAAAAGUGCCGCCGAUACUGGGAGUCUUGAGGGAGGUAGGGGUCGGGGGAACUGGUGGUGGAGCGGUGAAAUGCGUAGAUAUCACUAGGAACGCCGGUGGCGAAAGCGCCCGACUGGACCUCUUCUGACGCUGAGGCGCGAAAGCCAGGGGAGCAAACGGGAUUAGAUACCCCCGUAGUCC
RNAcentral lists this ribosomal RNA (435 nucleotides) under uncultured bacterium. RNAcentral describes it as "bacterial SSU rRNA". It matches the Rfam family "Bacterial small subunit ribosomal RNA", at positions 355 to 796 of the family's 1533-position model. The record is from RNAcentral.